AGGCUCAUAACUCAGCUGGUAGAGUGGUUGCCUUACAAGCAAUAAGUCAUCGGUUCGAGUCCGAUUGAGCCUAC
This 74-nucleotide transfer RNA is filed under the name Capsosiphon fulvescens. Its description in RNAcentral is "tRNA-Val". It matches the Rfam family "tRNA". From Rfam's summary of the family: Transfer RNA (tRNA) molecules are approximately 80 nucleotides in length. Their secondary structure includes four short double-helical elements and three loops (D, anti-codon, and T loops). Lineage: Eukaryota; Viridiplantae; Chlorophyta; Ulvophyceae; Ulotrichales; Ulotrichaceae. The record is from RNAcentral.